This 23083-nucleotide long non-coding RNA is filed under the name Eucalyptus grandis. Its description in RNAcentral is "long non-coding RNA (EGRA_LNC004776)". Lineage: Eukaryota; Viridiplantae; Streptophyta; Magnoliopsida; Myrtales; Myrtaceae. The record is from RNAcentral.
GGGUAGAGAUGAUAGUAAUUGGACACCAGGAAACCUUCCAUCCGAACCCCGUUUCAGGACAAGGUUCAUCAAGUUGUGUACGCCUUCAUGCUGCUUGAGGUUGUACUGUGAGAUCAUUCCGCAUACUGUGAUUUGGCCAUGCAGUUUCAUGUAUAGCAGCACGGCAUCAAGCAUCUUUCCACCGACAUUGUCGAAGUAGAUAUCGAUUCCCCCAGGGAAGCAUCUAAACAUUUAAGACAGAAAAAUGUCAACUCGAGCCAGCUUCAGAACAGGUACAUUUUUAAUAUUUUGUACAUCAGUAACUCAUUUGCUCAAUCAUCGUUAUUAUAUUUCUGGCUCACCUUUUCAAUGCUGCAUCCAGAUCCAACUCCUCCUUGUAGUUGAAAGCAUCAUCGAAUCCAAACUUGUUCUUCAGCAAAUCAACCUUUUUCAUGAACAUAACAGCAAGAGAGAAGUCUAAGUAAGAUAAAAUCCAUAAGAGACUAUUAAGACUGUAUUUUUAGCAUUUAUGUUUAGUGAAAUGAUGAGGGUACACAUUCAACACUGCCAUCAGUGUCUUGAGCAUUCUCAUAGUUGAGAUAUACAGCAGUAACAGCAUUCAUCAUAUCUCAGGUGCUUCUUUUAGAUCUUAUUCUAUUUUAGACGAGAGGAACAUGUGUUCCAUUUCAAACGCUUGUCUAGUCACUCAUUAUGAAACAAAAGUGAAAUUUGCAGAUGCCAAACAUGCUUGGUGAACCAUUAACAUCGACAUGAUUUUGUGCUUCUUUAAACACUAGACAUGUGGGAUGAUUACCUUCUCUUUGCUACCGGUGCUGCCAACAACAUAACAACCCAGCACCUUUGCAAACUGGCCAACAAGCUGACCAAUGGCUCCUGCCGCCGCCGAUAUGAAAACAAUCUCUCCUUUCUUAGGAGAGCAUACCUCGAAAAACCCAGCAAAGGCUGUCAUGCCUGGCAUACCUGGAAAGUACCGAUUUGCACAAAUUAGAUGAGUUUCAAGAUUUCCUGAAGCACAGGAGUAGGAGUGUAAACCUGUGGCAUAAUCUCAAGUGAUCUGAUUAAUUGAACGAAGGCAAAGCCCCUGAGAAAUGGAUUGACUUCUCAGAGGAGGCUUCUAUUUCAUUGAGAACUAAUCGAUUUACACAUUCAUUCAACACGAAAGACAGUUUCGCAGGGCUCUAGUUUUAAGGCAAUUCAACGAGGGCAUAUGGCUCUAUAACAAGGAAGAUCCCUACAAGUAAAAAUUCAAGGGAAGCACACCUUUUCCUUGCGUAGCUGGAGGCUGUUCGUACUUGAGAAUGAAAUAGACAGAACAAAGUAUCUUAACAAUCUGAUUCCCAUCAUUCUUAAACACUGAAAGACAUAACACACCAGAAGAUUAAAUAGCAUACCCAAAAGGCCGGUGUAGGAAGACAGGGGAACAUCAGAGUGUUCAAUUUUAACGCAAGUAUCUGGCGCAGUAAUUAGACUAUACUCCUCCCAUCCAGUGAUGCCCCAGACCAAGUCGCCUGUCUUGAAGUUUGGAUGCCCAGAUUCCAAAACUCUAGCUACUCCAUAUCCAUGAAUAGGCUGCUUCAAUAUGUUAAACACCUCAGAAUAUAAGUGCACAUCCGUUUAGCUAUCACGAAUAGACUUUGAGCUGACAAGAAGGGAUGAGUGUGCUUCCUUUGAAUUUUACUUGUCGAGUAAACUCAGUCGCAACUUUGAGUUUGAUGUAGACAUGCGAGGUCAUAACUUACUGUUGGCAUCAAUAUCGAAUCAAUGUGACGAGAGAGGUGGCGGUACUUACGGAGCCGAGAGGAGUGAAGUGCUUGAUGAGGUUGAGAUUGUAGGAAUCGCAAGCCAGGUACAAGUUCUUCACCGCAAUGGUCCCUGAAUCUUUGUCGGCCUUCAGUCUCUCCGAACUCGUCUUCACUUCCAAGUGGGUCUCUGUCAGGGAAUAUUGGACCUCCUCUCUGUAUAUUACCUGUUUGUUGCUCAUCACUUCCACUGAAGCAUUGGGACUCUCCUUCUCCAUUCUCUCUCUCUCUCUCUCUCUCUGUGAGAAACAUGGCCAAAUAGCGCUCGUGCAUUUAUUGGGAGAGGGAUAAUGAGAUAUGCUUACGUGUGCUCGUAUGUCAUCGGCACGAACGCUUACGCAUGCCGUUGUGUCAUCGGUGGAAAUAGUAUUUUACUCCUAGGGAACAAAAGCAGUUGAUCAAAGUGGCCAAUUGACUUCUACUCAUUAGAAACUUCUGUGAUUUGUGGUAAAACGUAAAGGAAUAUUUUACGUGGUAAACGAAGAAUUUAAAGAGAAAUCUGAAAGGGUUGUUAAUUGGACACUUUCUUUACGAGUCCUCUCUUCUUGUCCCUUUUCGUUAGUGCUGGAUCUUGUUUUCCACUUAGAUAAAGGUAAGUGUCUGUAAUUGACAGAUAAGUAUAUGAAAACCCUAAAGUUUAUUGUGAUCAAAGUGGCCAAUUGAAUUCUACUCAUUAGAAAAUUCUCUGAUUUGUGGUAAAACUUAAAGGAAUAUUUUACGUGGUAAACGAAGAAUUUAAAGAGAAAUCUGAAAGGGUUGUGCUGGCAUCGCCCGUAGCCACAAAAUUUUCCUUUCUCCGGCACAAGUUGUGGAAAUUUCCAAGCAAGUUGACGAGCCGUCUUCCAAGUUAAUGGGACGCUUGGCAAGCAAAAUCCAGUCUAAAAAUAAUGUAAUUUUUAAGGAGCAAAGCUGCACAUCGCCAGUUUUCCUUUUCCUCACAUUCUUCAUCUCCUUGACUUGAUUCGAGCGCAGUAGUGUGCAUUUGCAGUGGGGUGGUGAAAUCGUAAUCAUUGGUUGAAAAAAGCAAAUGAUGAAUGGAUGAGCUUAAAUUUCUUUUUAUUUAAAUUGAUCGUAUAUGAAUGGGUCUACAUAGACUUAACCGAGCCAACACCAAAAAGAGGACUACUUAAUUAGACUUACUCAUUUUUCAGUACAGAUCGAUACGAUCCAUGAUCACUUCUAAAACAAAGACACAACAAGCAAUCUUUGUUUUUGCGUCUUUGUUUUUGUCCAACUUUGAAAUACUCAUUUGACAUUUCGAGAUGUUGUGCCAUGAACGUUUCUCCGCUUUUGGACCGCUCCCAUAUAUGAUGAUGGAGGCUUGCUUCACAUCCGUCGUUCUUACUUCAUUUCACUAGUAGGCCUCUAUAUAAUUUGCAGUGUUCUGAUUACUUAAAAACCCACUUAUCAUAUUAUUUAUUUGAUUGGAUUGAUGUAAUUCUUUAAUUAGUCGUUGCUGUGCGUUUGGAUCGCCAACUCUCGAUACCAAGUAAAGCAAAAUCUAUAUAUGUUUUACCAUUCUUAAACUCACAAAUCUAUUUCUUUUUAUUUCUUUGAUUGAGUGACGUAAUAUUGAUUAUUUGUUAGAUUAAUUGGGUAAUUUUAUCCCUCUAUAUCAUUUGCCCCAACGUUUUGUAAUGGGAACGAUGAACGAUGUGACACCAAGUAAAGCAAAAUAAACUGGUCUUUCUCAUUCUAAUUUCAGAUUCAUUUCUCUCUCCAAUUUGAAAAUGUUAUUGCCGUUGUACUCUUAUUGCACUUCUUAAUUAACUCUUUUGAAUAUUUUGCAUUCCUUUCAAUUAUUGAUUUAACGCGAUCUUCAAUUGUUUUACGUUUUCAAUUAACGAAGAUCUAAUUCUAUGGUUUGCAUGAAAAAAUUCUUGUCUUUCUUUUUUCAACUUUUUAUAUUUCUUUUUUUUUUGGGGGGGGGGGGGGGGAAGAGUUCAUUUGAGUAAAUAAAAACUUACUGUCUAAUUCAUUUUCUUUGUGCUUUUCUUCUAUCUUUUUUAAAGCGCUAUGCUUGGUUAUUUACUUGAUGGAAAUGCUCUUAUUUGCAUGAACGCGAAAUCCCUCUUUCCCUUUUUCCUUCUUUCUUUUCAUUUCUGAAGGCGUCCAUUGUUUGCUGUUUUGUUGACAUUUCAACUCUGUUUUAUGACCCAAAAAAAACUCUGUUUUCUUUUUUCUUUUUUCCCUUUGCUUUGUCGAACUCCAAAUGUUACAGCAAGUGCACAUCCGUCUACUUCAACAGUUGAAUCAUAUUAUUUAUAUCUGUGUUUUUUCUCUGUGUUUAUCUUUUUAUUCUAUUUGUUAUUAUUAUAAAAUUUUUUCUAAUGAGUGUUUCUCAUUUAUGUUUGAUUGUCAAGAGAAAAAUAUCAAUUUCAGUCCUUCUCAUAUAGUUCUUUUUUUUAAAAUUAAACAAACAUAUUUAGUUGUUAAUACUAUUCAAAGUCAAACAACAAAUAUUCAAAUUAUGCGUAAGAAAAUAUUAAAUUGCAUGUUGAGUUUGAGUUGGUGCAAGAACUAUUAAGAAAUCCAUUUUCUUAUUGGGAUCAAGAUCCAACAGACCGUGUAGUUUUCUGGACUGGUUUGUUUGGCUUUUUCGGUUUGGUCAAAGGAGAUGUCUGGUUGUUUGACUCCUAUACGUAGCCACACAAGAGAGAAAGCCAUUAAAGAAAUGGAGGGGUGAAAAGGUCUUUGUCAGAGUAAAGAAAACAAAGUAAAAUAUAGUUUUUUUUUUUGGCUUUCACGGGGGCUCGGAUACACGAGAAUUUUGUGGUGUGAAUUUUAUAUCCAAGUUGAGUUGUAGCACUUACUAGUAAUUUAGGUGUGAGAAAUAUUUGAAUGUGUCUAUGAUUGUAACUUUGAUUCUCUAAUUAUAAUGAAUUAUUUACUACCAGUUUUCUCUGUGGAGAAAGUAUCGAUACUCGGAUCGAAUCACGUAAUUCAUUCAUGUCUUUUAUUUUUGUCAUUUAUUUAUCUAGUAAUUUCAUCUUGAUUUAAAUUGCAAAAUCUUGUUAAUUUCCUCAUUAAUUUUAAAAUGGGAAGUUUUGUGUCCAUACAUUUUAAAGAGAUUGUGUGGUCUUUAUACAUGCAAUGCACGUGACAUUCUACUAGUAAUUUGAAGAGGGAUAAUUACGACAAAAGUCUUAAACUUAUUGUUCGAAUGUCAAUUUAGUUCAAAUUUUUUUAAUUUAGCCAAUUUAAUCUUAAAUUUUUUGAUGAUUUGUCACUGUAAUCAUGCCGACCAGUUUUGGUCGAUAAUUGCUAACGUGGACAAAGAUGGUCUUACAUGGUAUAAUUGACGUUGAUGUAGAUAAUUUUUCUCUUUUUCAUGAUAUUUUCAUUUAUUUUUUAUUUUUAUUUUUUUCUUCCCUUGCUGGUUGUCAUGGCCAACAAUCAGCCAUAGUUGAGGGAUGGUAAGGGCAAGCCUCACCUAAGGCCCAUGAGAUCAGCCCUUGUGCGACCCUUGCUUAACGCUAGUUGCCAGCGAUUGCCAAGGCCCAACAACUGGCAAGCAAGAAGGAAAUAAAUAAAUAAAAAGAAAAAAUGAAAAUAAACUAUAGAUAUUUAAAAAAAAUGCAAAAAGUUGAUGACAUUAGUGUUGGUUGUGCCACAUUGCUGGCCAAAAUUAGUUGAAAGAACUAUAUUAGCAAAUCAUUAAAAGAUUUAUGAAUAAAUUGGCCAAAUUGAAGUAUUUAUGAUUAAAUUGGUAUCCGUAUAAUAUAUUUAACACUUUUUUUUUUUUUUGAAAUCUGUAUGGAUUAUGGCUCAAAGUUAGUUUCCACUAUUUUGAAAUUCGACCCACGAAUUACAAGUAAUCAUGCGCAAUAUUAAGCAAAGUCCAAAUCGGGCUCUUGUCAACAAGAUCAUGAGUAACGCAAGAAAUAUAUACUAACUUCUCAAAAAAUUUCUUUUUCUUAUUGAAGAUGAAGUCUAUGUUGAUGUCAGAAAAGUGCUCAUAGUUUCUUGCAUACAAAUAUUAUGUUGUUGAAUUUGGUCUGGUGUGCAUAGUUAGUGCGCUUAAUAUGUACGAAACUUGCAAGAGACACAAAGUGCACCGAGAGCCACAAUUCAAGAGAUUCGAGAGUUUAAGAAAAUUCCUCUCUUGCAAACGAUUUUUGUGGGUUCCUGCUGCAUUUAAAAAAAAAAAAAAACACUUAUAAGUGAGUAUGACUAACUGUAACUUUAUCAUCCUUGAUUAUUGUGGAUUUAUCUCUUUGAUCUCUCCUGGUAGACUAGGCAUAUAAUCAAACCACAUAAAUCUGUUAUUUUUUGGAUUUUAUCUAUGCAAUUUAUAUCUUAUUUUGGGUAUGCGUGUUUCAUAGAAAUCUUCUCGAUGGAAGAAUAUAUUUUCGCAAAAAAUCAUUUUCUAAGGAAAUUGCUUGUCUUUAGUUAUUUGAUGGGAUUCUUGAAGGCGAGACAAAAUUAUUUUCAAUGUUUAAACCUAACUUUAAGAAAUUAAAUGUUAUAAUUAUGGUUUGCUCUAGGGAUGUGCAUGGUCCGGGUGGGCGGUUCCCAACCUAGAACCGGGAACUGCCCGCUAAGGACCGGUUCCAAAAAAUUGGAACCGGGAUCCACCUGGGAACUGGACCGCCGGUCCGGUCCGGUUCCCGGGUAGAUCCAUGGAACCGAUUUUGACGCGAAACAAUUUUAGUUUUCAACAUAGAACGGUCGCGAAACAAUUUUUCGCGGCUGUGGCGGGUGGCAGUCAACGCGAGGGGGCGAACAGCAGCGGCGGAGGAGCAACGGCGGUGGCGUCGACGCUCAGGGAGGAAUUGAAAUGGCGAUAGGAUUAGGAGCAACCGAGGAAGAGACAAAGAGAGAGAGAGAACCAAAGACGAAGGGAGUGAGGCGAUGAGAUCUAAUAUAGGAUUUCUUUUAGUAAUUUUUUUUUGUAAUAUUAAAAAGGUUCCGAUCCGGUCCGGGUGGGCGGAUCCGCCCAUGGAACCGGGAACCGGACCGGUACCUACCGGUUCCGAAAAAUUGGAACUGAAAACCGGACUGGUUCCCUCAAGAACUGCCGGUUCUGGAUAGUUCCGGUCCAGUUUCGGGCGGUCCGGGCGAUUCUCGGGUAUUUUGCACACCCCUAGUUUGCUCCUAAUAUGCGAUACCAAAGUGAUAUCCAAAUCAUUGUCUAAAAUAUUACUAAUGUUUGGACUAUAAAAUUUUAUGGAUUUUUAUUAUCAAAAUAAUGCAACCUAAAAAAAGUACGCCCAAGAAGAAAAUGCAAAUAAUUAACAAAAUUAAUUGAUCAAUACUCCUUCGAACCAAAAAAAAAAAAAAUCAAUAAGUGCUCAUAAAAAUUUACGUGAAAAUAGAUUUCCAUUCCAAAAAAUUAAUCAAAGAGGGAUACACAAUAAAAAUUCAAACUGGAAAGAAAAAAAAAAAAGAAGAGGAAAAAGAAAAGUCAUCGUAAAAUUAAAGACAAGAACAUCCUAAAUUGACAUUUCCACGGACACCUCUUGUAUUAUCCUUCUAAAAUAUGUAUCAUACAGCCGAGUGACAAAUAACCAAAUAACAAUUUAGUCUACAGAGAUGCAACAAAUUGAGCAAUUGAAGCUAAUUCUAAUAUCAAUUUGAAGAGGAGAUGAAACAGUUUUGAGAGUUUGCUGUGAAGAAAAGAAAGGAUAGAGAGUGAAGACUAGUAGGGACAGAGGGAGAACAGGGGACGCUUGUAGAAAAUGAGUUUGAAAAAACCGAUUUCUUCUUUUUAGGAUAGAGAAGUCAUUUUCGUGGAUGUUGAGUAUUGUUUUUUUUUUCUUGCCUGAAAAGUUUUUUCAAUAGAUUGUCCAUUUUCAACAAAUCAAACGUGUUGACCUUUAGAAAAUCAUUUCAUGGAAGUCCUUUCCAUAAAAACAAUGACACCCUCCAAAUUGCUUCGAUUCUUCACAUUUUCACGCUAGUCAAAACAGUUCGAUCUUUCAAACCAGUUCAUUAAAAGGCGACGGCACGGUAAGGGAAGAUCCAUUUACAUCGACAUCUUAGAGAGGCACAGAAUGAAACUUUAUACCAAUACAGCAGAGAACAUAUCCUCCGGAAGAAUAACAGAGCAAUCGCACCCAAAAGUGCAGUAAGCGGGAAACUACUGGCUUCUGUUUCCCCACCAUUGCUACCAGAAAACAACCCCAUGCCCCUUCUUAUACGAGACACGUUUGCACUCAAAUGUCCUUUGUAUCAUAGCGGCAAUGCAAUGACAAACGGAAAACAACUUUCAAAAGGACGAGGCAAAAUAAGACUAUGCCGAUGAAAAUAAGUACAGAAAGCUGAAUCAUUCGCGAGAAACCACGACCACCUGUUUCCCGAAGUUGCGACCAGAGAACACCCUGACAAGAGCUGAUGGACCAUUCUCGAGCCCUUCUGCGAUGUCUUCCAUGUACACAAUCUUCCCCUCUUUAAUCUGAGGCAAUGCCGUCUCGAGGAACUUCGGGUAGAGAUGAUAGUAAUCAGUUACCACGAAACCUUCCAUCCGAACCCGCUUCAGGAUAAGGUUCAUCAAGUUGUGUAUGCCUUCGGGCUGCUCAAGAUUGUACUGUGAGAUCAUUCCGCAUAAUGUGAUUCGGCCAUGAAGUUUCAUGUUGAGCAGCACGGCAUCAAGCAUCUUUCCGCCGACAUUGUCGAAGUAGAUAUCGAUCCCCUCAGGGAAGCAUCUAAACAUUCAAGACAGAAAAGUCAACUCUAGUCAGCUUUGGAAUGGGUACAUAUUGAAUAUUUUGUACAUAAGUAAUUUGCUCAAUCAUCGUUACUAUAUUCCUGGUUCACCUUUUCAGUGCUGCAUCCAGAUCCAGUUCCUCCUUGUAGUUGAAAGCAUCAUCGAAUCCAAACUUGUUCUUCAGUAAAUCAACUUUUUUUCCCAAACAUAACAGCAAGCGGACAUUUUAAGUAAAGAUAAAAUCGGGAAGAGACUAUUAAGCAAUUACUAUUCAAGGAAAAACUAGACAAAUGUGAGAUGAUUACCUUCUCUUUGCUACCGGCGCUGCCAACAACAUAACAACCAAACAACUUUGCAAACUGGCCGACAAGCUGACCCACAGCUCCCGACGCCGCCGAUAUGAAAACAGUAUCUCCUUUCUUGGGAGAGCAUACCUCGAAAAACCCAGCAUAAGCCGUCAUACUUGGCAUACCUGGAAAGUUUGGAUUUAUACAAAUUAGACAAGUUUCAAGAUUUGCUGAAGCAUAGGAGUGUAGUGCCAUGGCAAAUCUCAAAUGAUCCGAUUUAAUUGACCGAAGGUGAUGGCCCUGACAAAUGGAUGAGAAACAAUCAAUUUACACGCUUCUCUCAACACGAAAGAGCUGUACAGUGCUCCAUUGUUGAGAUAAUUCAACGAGGGCAUACGGCACUUAAACAAGGAAGAUCCGCCCAAGUAAAAUUCAAAGGAAGCACGCUUUUUCCUUGCAUAGCUGGAGGCUGUCCGUACUUGAGAACCAAACAGACAGAACAAAGUAUCUUAACGAUUCGAUGCUCCUCAUUAUUUAACACUGAAAGAGAUAUCGCACCAGAUGAUUAAAGAGCAUACCUAGAAGACCGGUGUAGUAAGACAGAGGAACAUCGGUGUGUUCGAUCUUAAAGCAAGUCUCUGGCGUAGUAAUUAGACUAUACUCCUCCCAUCUGGUGAUGCCCCAAACCAAGUCGCCUUUCUUGAAGUUUGGGUGCCCAGAUUCCAAAACUCUAGCUACCCCAUAUCCAGGAACAGGCUGCAUCAUGGUUUUAGAUUCUUCAGAAUAUAAGUGGAACUACAAAUAGCAAACUCGAAUAGACUUUGAGCGUACAAGAAGGAAAGAGUAUGCUUCCUUUGACUCUACUUGUUGAAUGUAAUUGUCACAAAUUUGAGUUUGGUUUAUGGGUGCGAGUUCAUAAAUUACUGUUAGCAUCAUGUGUCGAGUAAACGUGACGAGAGAGAUGGCGGUACUUACAGAGCCGAGCUGAGUGGAGAACUUGAUGAGGUGGAGAUUGUAGGGAUCGCAGGCCAGGUACAAGUUCUUCACCACGAUGGCCCCCGAAUCCUUGUCGGCCUUCGGUCUCUCCGAGCUCGUCCUCACUUCCAAGUGGGUCUCUUUCAGGGAACCUUGUACCUUCUCUCUGUAAAUCACCUGUUUGUUCCUCAUAACUUCCGCUGAAGCGUUGUUGUUCUCCUUCUCCAUUCUCUCUCUCUCUCUCUCUCUCUCUCUCUCUCUCUGGAUUUGAUCGGUGAGACGCAUGGCCAAAUACUUUAUAGGGAAGAUGGGUGAUAAAAGAUGGGUGAUGAAAUAUGCAGUCGCCGGUGACGUGUGCCCGUGUGUCAUCCGUGGAAUAGUAUUCCAAUUGGGAGACCAUUUCAAAGAAAUGGGCAACCGGUUGAAAUCUAAACAAUAUAUUAUUAUAUUUGCUAAUCUUAAUUAAUUCAACAAGGAAACUAGAUAAAAAAAAAAAACAAUACAUACGAUGAAAUGAAGGUUUUGUUUUCUUAUUUUAUUUAAGGAAUAAUAUUACCAUCGUUCCUUUAUUUUUAUCAAAAAAAUCAAAAUCAAAAUCAUCCUUCUUUCUUUUAUUAUUAUUUUUUAAAAACGUCUCUCGAGUUUUUAGAAAAUGUCAAUGUACAGUCCUUCCAUUAUAAUUUUUCCCUUACUCGUCGAUUUUUGUUGACAUGGAUUAGAGAAUUAAUAAUAUAGAUGCUAGUGAAUACAUGUGUCACACUGAAAUACAUAUGUCAUGUCAUGAUUUUUUGAAAUUUAUUAUAAGUCAAAAAGGCACCACAUUAAUAUAUAUAUAUAUAUAUAUAUAUAUAUAUAUAUAUAUAUAUAUAUAAAACCAAAAUUGAGAGAGAAAAACAGAUGGAGGAUCAUCAUCGUAGCCAGAAGCUCAAGCUCUAAGCUUGUAGCAACCAUGGUCACAGUGGCCACAACCACUAGAGUUUCGAAUUGUGAAUUUUGAGAGCAUGGCUACUCGAGAAAAGCUCAUGGUCAUGGUGGCUCAAUUGGUGGUCGUAAAUGGUUACAAAUCAUAGUUUUUGUGUUUAUUAUGGAUGUUUUGUAGGUUUUCUUCAAGUUUAUCGUUUAUGUUAUUUUAUUUUUAUUAUACUCAAAUUUAAGAAAUUUUACUUCGAGGGAUUAAAGGAAAUCCCGAUAACUAAGAUUUCAUUCCAAAUUUCCCAAAGAAACAAGAUGACCCAUUUAUCUUGUUCCCUCUACUUAUACUAUUAACUUAUUCGCUCUUUCAAUGAACAUUUUAUAGCACUUUAUGCUUCAUAUUUGAUGAAGUGGCAUGUCACAUAAUGCUUAAGCAUGUAUAAAUUACUUCACCUUUCACCUGCCCUUAAAACCUACCUUAACACUUUUUCUUUGGAAGAAGUACAUCCCAGGUGUCAAAGCUUGACUCAAAAGGACACUUAAAUUCCAAAAAUUAGGAAAGUGAUACUUAAGUGUCAUCUCUGGUAAACCCGCCGAAAAUCUUACGUGAUAAUUUUUUAUUAUUUUUCUUGCCUACAUGGCUUGUCAAAGAGUUGACUUAGCAAAGAAAUGCAAAAACGACGUCGUUUUAAUGUGAAUUUGAAUUUGAAUAUAAAAUUUAAUUAAAUUAAACUAUAAAAAUUAAUUAAAAAUAAAUAAAAAAUUUUUAAAAAAGGGAGGGAUGAAGAAGGUGGCUGAGGGCUGAGCCCUCUGCCACUGCCUCCCUAUCGUCGCAGGGAAGGGCUAGCGAAGGUGGGGGGAGGGUUGGCUAGGGCCCAACGACCCUGGUUGAUCAAUGACGAGGGCUUGCGAGCCCUCGCCUAGAUCUGGGGUGAGGGUCGCAACCCUCCCCCAAAUCUGACAAGGGUAGGCGACUCUCGCUUGAAUAGGCCAAGGGCCGCUGCUAGCUAGGGGCGCCCCAACGGGCAACCAUUGUUUGCUGUUUUGUUGAAAUCCAAAUGUUACAAUAAGUGCACAUCCGUCUACUUCAAUAAUUGAAUCAUAUUAUUUAUAUUUGUAUUUUUUCUUUGUGUUUAUCUUUAUAUUCUAUUUGUUAUUAUUAUAUAAUUUUUUCAACUGAGUGUUUCUUAUUUAUGUUUGAUUGUCAAGAGAAAAAUAUCAUUUCAGUCCUUCUCAUAUAGUUCUUUAUUUAAAAUUAAACAAAUAUAUUUAGUUGUUAAUACCAUUCAAAGUCAAACAAAAAUAUUCAAAUUAUGCGUAAGAAAAUAUUAAAUUGUAUCUUGCGUUUGAGUUGGUGAAAGAAAUAUUAAGAAAUCCAUUUUCUUAUUGGGAUCAGGAUCCAUCAGACCAUGUAGUUUUCUGGACUGGUUUGUUUGGCUUUUUCGGUUUGGUCAAAGGAGACGUCUGGUUGUUUGACUCCUACACGCAGCGACACAAGAGAGAAAGCCAUUAAAGAAAUGGAGGGGGUGAAAGGGUCUUUGUCAGAGUAAGAAAACAAAGUAAAAUAUAGUUUUUUUUUUCUUUCACGAGGGCUCAGGUACACAAGAAUUUUGUUGUGUGACUUUUAUAUCCAAGUCGAGUUGUCGCACUUACUAAUAAUUUAGGUGUGGGAAAUAUUAGAGCAUGUUCAUGAUCGUAACUUUGAUUCUCCGAUUUUAUAAUGAAUUAUUUACUGUUGAUUCUUCUUGUGAAGAAAGUACUGAUACUCAAACCGAAUCAUCUAAUUCAUUCAUGUCUUUUAUUUUUCUUGUUUAUUUCUUUGGUAAUUUCACAUUGAUUUAAAUUGCAAAAUCUUGUUAGUUUCCUCAUUAAUUUUACAAUGGGAAGUUUGCUGUCUAUACAUUUUAAGAGAUUGCGUGGUCUUUAUACAUGCAAUGCACGUAACAUUCUACUAGCAAUUUGAAUACGGAUCAUUACUAGAAAAGUCUUAAACUUAUUAUUCAAAUGGCAAUUUAGUUCAAAACUUUUUAAUUUAGCCAAAUUAAUCCUAAUUUUUUUUGACAAUUUGUCAAUGUAAUCAUACCGACCAAUUUUGGUCGGUAAUUGCUGACGUGGACAAAAAUUGUCUUAUGUGGCAUAGUCGAUACUGAUGUAAAGAACUUUUUUUUGUGAUAUUUUAAUUUUUUUAAUUUUCUUUUUCCCCCCUCUUCCUUUGCCGGUUGCCAUGGCCAAUAAUCAGCCAUAGUCGAGGGCUGGUGAGGGCAAGCCUCACAUGAGGCCCAUGAGAUCAGCCCUUGUUCGACCCUUGCUUGUCGCUUGCUAGCAAUUGCCAAGGCCUGACAACUGGCAAGCAAGAAGGAAAUAAAAAAAGAAAGAAAAUAAAAAAGGAAAAAUUCAAAUAAAGUAUAUAUAUUUAGAAAAAUAUAAAAAAUGCAAAAAGUUGAUUACAUUAGUGUUGGCUAUGCCACAUUACUGGCCAAAAUUAGCUAGAAGAAUUAUAUUAGCAAAUCAUCAAAAAAAAAAUUAUGAAUAAAUUGGCUAAAUUGAAGUAUUUAUGAUUGAAUUGGUAUCCGUAUAAUAUAUUUAACAUUUUUUUUUGGAAAUUUGUAUGGAUUAUGGCUCAAAGUUAGUUCCUACUAUUUCUAAAUUUGACCCACGGAUUACAAGUAAUCAUGCUCAAUAUUAAGGAAAGUCCAAAUCGGACUCUUGUCAACAAGAUCAUGAAUAACAAGAUCAUGAGUAACGCAAAAAAUAUAUAUUAACUUCUCAAAAAAUUUCUUUUUUCUUAUUGAAGAUGAAGUCUAUGUUGAUGUACUUACCAAAAAAAAAAGAGUCUAUGUUGAUGUCUGAAAAGUGCUCAUAGUUUCUUGCAUACAAAUAUUAUGUUGUUGAAUUUGGUUGGGUGUGCAUAGUUAGUGCGCUUAGUAUGUACGACACUUGCAAGAGACACAAAGUGCACCAAGAACCACAAUCCAAGAGAUUCGAGAGUAUAAGAAAAUUCCUCUUUUGCAAACGAUUUUUGUGGGUUCCUCCUGAAUUAAAAAAAAAAAAACUUAUAAGUGAGUAUGACUGAGUAAUUGUAACUUUAUCCUCCUUGAUUAUUGUGGAGUUAUCUUGUUGAUUUCUCAUGUUAGAUUUGACAUAUAAUCAAAUCAUGUAAAUCUGUUAUUUUUCGAUUUUAUCUAUGAAAUUUAUAUCUUAAUUAGGGUAUGCGUGUUUCAUAGAAAUCUUCUCGAUGGAAGAAUAUAUUUUUGCAAAAAUCAUUUUCUAAGGAAAUAGCUUGUCAUUAGUUAUUUGAUGGUGUUCUUGAAGGCGAGACAUAAUUAUUUUUGAUGUUUUAAACCUAACUUUAAUAAAUUAAGCUCAAUGUUAUAAUUAUGGUUUGCUCCUAAUAUGAGAUACUAAAGUGAUAUCCAAAUCAUUGUCUAAAAUAUUACUAAUGUUUGGAAGAUAAUUUUAUGGAUUUUUAUUAUCAAAAUAAUGCAACCUGAAAAAGGACGCCCAAGAAGAAAAUGCAAAUAAUUAACAAACUUAAUCUAUCAGUACUCUUUCGAAUACCAACAAAAAAAAAAAAAAAAAUCAAUCAGUGCUCAUAAAACUUUACGUGAAAAUAGAUCUCCAUUCCAAAAAAUUAAUCAAAGAGGGAUACACAAUAAAAGUCCAAUCUGGAAAAGAAAAAAAAAAGGAAAAAGAAGAGUCAUCAUAAAAUUAAAGACAAAAACAUCCUAAAUUGGCAUUUCCACGGACACUUCAUGUAUCAUCCUUCUAAAAUAUGCAUCAUACAGCCGAGUGACGAAUAACCAAAUAACAAUUUAGUCUGACAGAGAUGCAACAAAUUGAGCAAUUGAAGCUAAUUCUAGUACCAAUCUGAAGAGGAGAUGAAACAGUUUUGAGAGUUUGCUGUGAAGAAAAGAAAGGAUGGAGAGUGAAGACUAGUAGGGACAGAGGGAGAACAGAGCACGCUUGUAGAAAAUGAGUCUGAAAAAACCGAUUUCUUCUUUUUAGGAUAGAGAAGUCAAUUUCCUGGAUGUUGAGUAUUGUUUUUUUUUUCUUGCCUGAAAAGUUUUUUCAAUAGAUUAUCCACUUUCAACAAAUCAAACGUAUUGAUCUUUAAAAAAUCAUUUCAUGGAAGUCCUUUCCUUAAAAACAAUGACACCCUCCAAAUUGCUUUGAUUCUUCACAUUUUCGCGCUAGUCAAAACAGUUUGAUCUUUCAAACCAGUUCAUUUAAAGGCGACGGCACGGUAAAGGAAGAUCCAUUUACAUCGACAUCUUAGAGAGUAAUAGAAUGAAAUUUUAUACCAAUAGAUUCAGCAGAGAAGAUAUCCUCCGAAAGAAUAACAGAGCAUUCGCACCCAAAAGUGCAGUAAGCGGGAAACUACUAGCUUCUGUUUCCCCACCAUUGCAACCAGAAAACAACCCCAUGCCCCUUCUUAUACAAGACACAUUUCCACUCAAAUGUACUUUGUAUCAUAGCGGCAAUGUAAUGACAAACGGAAAACAACUCCUUUCGAAAGCACGAGGCAAAAUGAGACUAUGUUGAUGAAAAAAAGUACAGAAAGCUUACUCAUUUGCGAGAAACCACGACCACCUGUUUCCCGAUGUUGCGACCGGAGAACACCCCAACAAGAGCUGCUGGACCAUUCUCGAGCCCUUCCGCGAUGUCUUCCGUGUAUGCAAUCUUCCCCUCUCUGAUCUGAGGCAAUACCAUCUCCAGGAACUUCGGGUAGAGAUGAUAGAAAUCGGACACCGAGAAACCUUCCAUCCGAACCCGCUUCCAGAUAAGGUUUAUCAAGUUGUGUACGCCUUCGUGCUGCUCGAGGUUGUACUGUGAGAUCAUUCCGCAUACUGUGAUUCGGCCAUGAAGUUUCAUAUUGGGCAGCACGGCAUCAAGCAUCUUUCCGCCGACAUUUUCGAAGUAGAUAUCGAUCCCCUCAGGGAAGCAUCUAAACAUUCAAGACAGAAAAAAGUCAACUCUAGUCGGCUUUGGAAUGGGUACAUAUUGAAUAUUUUGCACAUAAGUAAUGUGCUCAAUCAUCGUUACUUUAUUCUUGAUUCACCUUUUCAGUGCUGCAUCCAGAUCCAGUUCCUCCUUGUAGUUGAAAGCAUCAUCGAAUCCAAACUUGUUCUUCAGCAAAUCAACCUUUUUCCCAAACAUAACAGCAAGCGAGUAUUUUAAGUAAAGAUAAAAUCGGGAAGAGACUAUUAAGCAAUUACUAUCCAAGGAAAAACUAGACAAAUGUGAGAUGAUUACCUUCUCUUUUCUACCGGCGCUGCCAACAACAUAACAACCAAACAACUUUGCAAACUGGCCGACAAGCUGACCAACAGCUCCUGAUGCCGCCGAUAUGAAAACAGUAUCUCCUUUCUUGGGAGAGCAUACCUCGAAAAACCCAGCAUAAGCCGUCAUACCUGGCAUACCUGGAAAGUUUGGAUUUAUACAAAUUAGACGAGUUUCAAGAUUUGCUUAAGCAUAGGAGGAGGAGUGUAAUGCCAUGGCAAAUCUCAAAUGAUCCGAUUUAAUUGACCGAAGGUGAUGCCCCUGACAAAUGGAUGAGAAACAAUCAAUUUACACGCUUCUCUCAACACGAAAGAGCUGUACAGUGCUCCAUUGUUGAGAUAACUCAACGAGGGCAUAUGGCGCUUAAACAAGGAAGAUCCCCCCCAAGUAAAAUUCAAAGGAAGCACGCUUUUUCCUUGCAUAGCUGGAGGCUGUCCGUACUUGAGAACCAAACAGACAGAACAAAGUAUCUUAACGAUUCAAUGCUCCUCAUUAUUUAACUCUGAAAGAGAUAUCGCACCAAAUGAUUAAAGAGCAUACCCAGAAGGCCGGUGUAGUAAGACAGAGGAACAUCGGUGUGUUCGAUCUUAAAGCAAGUCUCUGGCACAGUAAUUAGACUAUACUCCUCCCAUCUAGUGAUGCCCCAAACCAAGUCGCCUUUCUUGAAGUUUGGAUGCCCAGAUUCCAAAACUCUAGCUACUCCAUAUCCACGAACAGGCUGCAUCGUUGUGUUAGAUUCUUCAGAAUAUAAGCGCAACUACAAUUAGCAAACUCGAAUAGACUUUGAGCGAACAAGAAGGAAAGAGUAUGCUUCCUUUGAAUCUUACUUGUUGAAUGUAAUUGUCACAAAUUUGAGUUUGGUUUAUGCAUGCGAGUUCAUAACUUACUGUUAGCAUCAUGUGUCGAGUAAAUGUAACAAGAGAGAUGGCGGUACUUACAGAGCCGAGCUGAGUGGAGAACCUGAUGAGGUUGAGAUUGUAGGGAUCGCAGGCCAGGUACAAGUUCUUCACCAUGAUGGCCCCCGAAUCCUUGUCGGCCUUCGGUCUCUCCGAGCUCGUCCUCACUUCCAAGUGGGUCUCCUUCAGGGAACCUUGUACCUUCUCUCUGUAUAUCACCUGUUUGUUGCUCAUAACUUCCACUGAAGCAUUGCUGUUCUCCUUCUCCAUUCUCUCUCUCUCUCUCUCUCUCUCUCUCUCUNNNNNNNNNNNNNNNNNNNNNNNNNNNNNNNNNNNNNNNNNNNNNNNNNNNNNNNNNNNNNNNNNNNNNNNNNNNNNNNNNNNNNNNNNNNNNNNNNNNNNNNNNNNNNNNNNNNNNNNNNNNNNNNNNNNNNNNNNNNNNNNNNNNNNNNNNNNNNNNNNNNNNNNNNNNNNNNNNNNNNNNNNNNNNNNNNNNNNNNNNNNNNNNNNNNNNNNNNNNNUAAACAAUAUAUUAUUAUAUUUGCUAAUCUUAGUUAAUUCAACAAGGAAACUAGAUAAUAAAAAAAAAAAAAAACGAUAGAUGCGAUGAAAUGAAGGUUUUGUUUUCUUAUUUUAUUUAAGGAAUAAUAUAACCAUCGUUCCUUUAUUUUUGUCCGAAAAUCAAAAUCAAAAUCAUCCUUCUUUCUUUCUCUUUAAGAAAGAAAAAAAAAACGUCCCUCUACUUUUUAGAAAAUGUUGACGUGCGGUCCUUCCAUUGUAAUGUUUCCCUUACUGAUCGAUUUUUGUUGACAUGGAUUCAAAAUUAAUGAUAUAGACGCUAGUGAAUAUACGUGUCACCCUGAAAUAUAUGUCAUGUCAUGAUUUAUUGAAAAUUAUUAUAAGUAAAAAAGGCACCACAUCAAAUAAUAUUAAACAACAGAAAAACCAAAGUUGAGAGAGAGAAAGAGAUGGAGGAUCAUCGUCGUAGCCUUGAGCUCAAGCUCUAAGCUUGCAACAACCAUGGUCGCGACGGCCACAACCACUAGAGUUUCAAAUUGUGAAGCUCGAGAUCAUGGCUGCUCAAGAUAAGCUCACGGUCAUGUUGGCUCAAUUGGUGGUCGUAAAUGGUUACAAAUCAUAGCUUUUGUAUUAUUAUGGAUGUUUUGUGGGUUUUCUUCAAGUUUAUCAUUUCUAUUAUUUUAUUUUUAUUAUACUCAAAUUUAAGAAAUUUUACUUUGAGGGAUUAAAGGAAAUCCGAGAUUUCACUCCAAAUUUCCCAAAGAAAUAGGAUGAACAAUUUAUCUUGUUCCCUUUACUUGUACUAUUAACUUAUUUGUUAUUUCAAAGAACUUUUUAUAACACUUUAUGCUUCAUAUUUGAUGAAGUGGCACGUCACAUAAUGCUCAAGCAUGUAUAAAUUACUCCACCUUUCACCUGCCCUUAAAACCUACCUUAAUACUUUUUCUUUAAAAAAAGUACACCCCAAGUGUUAAAAUUUGGCAUAAAAUGACAUUUUAGUGCCAAAAAUUAAGAAAAUGCCAUUUUUUGAAAUGUGAGAUUGCCAUCUACGAUUAACCUUGCCAGCAAUCCUACAUGGCAAUUUUUUAUUAUUUUUCUUGCCUACAUGGCUCACCGGAGAGCAGACUCAAUAAAGAAACGCAAAAAUGACAUCAUUUUGACGCGGAUUUGAAUUUUAAUAUAAAAUUUAAUUUAAUGAAUCUAUAAAUAAAUUAUAUAUAUAUAUAUAUAUAUAUAUAUAUAUAUAAGGGGGUGAAAAGAAGAAGGUAGCUGAAGGUUGAGCCCUUACUGCCGCCUUCUCCCUGCCGUCACUUGGAACAGCCAACAAAAGUGGGAGUAGGGUUGGCUGGGAUCGCCGGGCCUUGGCUAGGGGUUAGCGACCCCGACUGACCCUUGCCCAAAUCUUUUGCAAGGGUCGCCACCCUUCCCCAGAUCUGGCGAGAGUCUAUAGCUCUCACAUGCAUAUACGGCGAGGGUCACCGNNNNNNNNNNNNNNNNNNNNNNNNNNNNNNNNNNNNNNNNNNNNNNNNNNNNNNNNNNNNNNNNNNNNNNNNNNNNNNNNNNNNNNNNNNNNNNNNNNNNAAAGGAUAGGAAUUUGCUAAACAUUCUCUUUAUAUUUCAAGAACCAUAAUUCUCUAGAAAUCUACAUGGAAGAAAAGGAAGUGCCAGAUACCUGGAGUGUCAAAACUUGGCACAGGGGGAUACUGAAGUGCCAAAAUUGGAGCAAAAUUGAUCACUUAGGGCGCGUUUGAUUGUGUUUCUGUUUAAAAAUUGUUCCAGGGAACAGAAAUAGAAAAAAGUAUUUCUGUUCCGGGGAACAAUUUUUGAACAAAAAUACGCGUUUGGUAAACUUGUUCCGGGAAUAAAAAAUAAACAGAAACAUGUUUGGUAAAUUUGGAUAAUUUUUUUAUUUCUUUUAUUUUUUCUAUUUUUUUCUUAUUUUUCCUUUUUUUCUUUUUUCUUUUUCAUUUUUUUUUUCUUCUUUUGGCCGGUCGCCGGCCAAGGCCUUGGCCGGCGACCGGCCAAAAGAAGAAAAAAAAAAUGAAAAAGAAAAAAGAAAAAAAGGAAAAAUAAGAAAAAAAUAGAAAAAAUAAAAGAAAUAAAAAAAUUAUCCAAAUUUACCAAACAUGUUUCUGUUUAUUUUUUAUUCCCGGAACAAGUUUACCAAACGCGUAUUUUUGUUCAAAAAUUGUUCCCCGGAACAGAAAUACUUUUUUCUAUUUCUGUUCCCUGGAACAAUUUUUAAACAGAAACACAAUCAAACGCGCCCUAAGUGAUCAAUUUUGCUCCAAUUUUGGCACUUCAGUAUCCCCCUGUGCCAAGUUUUGACACUCCAGGUAUCUGGCACUUCUUUUUCUUUCAUGUAGAUUUCUAGAGAAUUAUGGUUCUUGAAAUAUAAAGAGAAUGUUUAGCAAAUUCCUAUCCUUUCCAGCAAUUAAAAAACCAUUUGCAUUUCUGAAAAUUACGUUAGAACUUUAGCUGAAGAAUUUUACCUUUUUUUUUGUCCUUUUUAGGAAGCUUUAGCCUUCUCUCUGACUCGUGAAGUGGAAAAACCGGAUCCGACCCCCAAAAAGAAAAAAUAAAAAGUGGAAAAACCGGCAACUCAAGUUUGUGGGUUACUCGAUUUAAAUUGUGCGAUGGAAGACAACCCAUCACUUGAUUGCGGAUAACGGUGCCGUUAUGCUCACUUUCCUCAUUCCAAUUCCAUUUCUCUCUUCAAUUUGUAAUUGUUAUUGUCGUUGUCCUCGGUGAAUUUUAAUUCUUACUUUUGCUUUUCCCUUGUUGAUAUAUUAUUCUGGACACUCUUCUCGCACUUCUUAAUUAACUCUUUUUGAAUUUUUGGCAUUCCUCUCAAUUAUUAAAUUAACUCUUUCUUCAAAAUUAUCAUACAUUUUCAAUUAACGAAAAUAUAUAUAUUUUUUGCAUGAAAAAAUUCUUGUCUUUUUUUCAAUUUUUGUUUUCUUUUGUUUGGAAGAGUUUAUUUGAGUAAAUAUAAUAUUAGCUACUUCAAACUUUAAAUUUGAUUACUUACUGUCCAAUUCAUUUUCUUCAUGCAUUUUUUCUGUCUCAUUUGAAGUGCUAUACUUGCUUUUUAUAUUCUUCUUCUUUCUUUCCUUUCUUUUCUAUACUUGAUUUUAUAAACUAAAGGGACUCGGUCAAACCCCAAAUGUUACACUAAUCAAAUAAUUUAUAUUUGUGUGUUUUCACUGUGUUGAUCUUUUCCUAUGUUCUAUUUGUUAUUAUUAUAUAUUUCUUUUCUAAUUAUUAUAUUUUUUUUUUCUAAUGAGUGUUUCUCAUUCGCAUAUGAUUAUCACAAGAAAAAAAAAUCAAUUUCAUUCCUUCUCAUAAGAGUCAAACAAUAAAUAUUCAAACCGUGUUUAAGGAAAUGUUAGAUUAUAUCUCGACUUGGGAACCAUGUGAGGAAUAUCAAGAAAUAUAUUUUCUUAUUGGGUUCGGAUUCAUCGGACGAUGUAGUUUGCUCGAUUGGCUUCCGACGAAGGAGCCACAAGGUUAUUGGCUUAUUCAGUUUUGGUCAAAGAAGAUGUGUGGUUGUUUGACUCCUAUGCGCAGCCGCACGACAGUGAGAGCCACUACAGGACAAAAUAAAGGGGUCGCAUAUUCUCUAAUUAUAUAUUUAUUUCGGGGGUAAAAAGAUUUUUGUCUGAGGAAACAGCCCGUGGGCUCUCGAGCAGAACGUAGACUUUGGGGGUGUUUGGUUCAGCUUUCCCAAGGGGCUUUGAGCCUCGAAAGCCCCUUGGGAAAAAUUAGAGGGUGUUUGGUUCGGCUUUCAAAUGCUCCUUGGUGAAAUGUUUGCCUUUGGAAUGCUGAAUGCCGAAUGCUGGGGGGGACCAGCUUUGAGCAUUGGGCAUUCUGGAGAUGCGAUAUUACUGUUCAUCGCGUCACUGUUCAUCGUCUCCUCCGCCGUUCGCCUUCUUCUUCGCCAUUCAUCUUCUUCUUUGCCAAAGGCAGCGCUCAGCCGCGAUCUGGCCGUCGAGAAGCCUCGCCUGAGGUCGCACAACCUUAGGCGAGGUGGCCUGAGGUCGGGCAACCUCAGGCGGCGUCGCCUGGUCUCGCGCUAGCCAGGCGACCAGGCGAGGCCAGAUCUGGCCAUUUGACGGCCAGAUCUGGCCCCUGCGACCUCCGGCGGCCAGAUCUGGUGGUUCGGCGACGGCCAGAUCUGGCCGUCCGGCGGUGGCUGGCGGUUGGCCGACAGUAGCCGACCGUCGGAAUUUCAUUUCAGACUUUAAAGAAAAUAAAAAAUAACAAAAGCUAAUUACAAAUGUAAAGUUUGCCAAACGGUGUUUAUGCUAAGUUGCAUUUCCAUGCUAAAAUUUACCAAACGGUGUAACAUUUCCGAAAGCCCCUUUCUCUCAAAGAUAUUUGCAUUUUCCCAAUGACAUUUCCCCAAAGCCGAACCAAAUGGGCCCCGCGCGAGGGAACGCUUCGAACGAGCAUCGGACACACGUGAAUUUUGUGCUUUGUUUUAUAUUCAAAUUGGGACGUAAGACUCAUGUAUAUUCUGGGUGUGGAAAAUAUUGAAACCUGUUCACGAUUGUAAUUCUAAUUUUUCAAUGAUAGUAGAUUAUCAGCUACUACCAACUCUCCCAAUACAGUAUGUACCUAGAUUUUUGACCGAAUAUUGUAAAGUUUAUGGUGUUUUUAAUUGUUCAUUGUUUUAUUUAUCUAGUGAUUUCGAGUUAAUUUAAAUUGUAAUAUCUUGUUAGUUUCUGUAUUAAUUUUACUAUGGAAAGUUCGGUGUCUAUACAUUACCCUUGACAUUCUACUUGUAAUCUAAAAAUGAAUAAUUACUAUAAAUUUUUAAACCUAUUAUUUGGAUAUCAAUUCAGUCAUUAAUUUUUUAAUUUAAUUAAUUUAGUUUUAAAUCUUUUGAUGAAUUGACAAUUUACUUAUUCCACCUAUAAUCGCUAACAUGGACAAAAUCAAACGUAUUGAUCUUUAAAAAAUCAUUUCAUGGAAGUCCUUUCCUUAAAAACAAUGACACCCUCCAGAUUGCUUUGGUUCUUCACAUUUUCGCGCUAGUCAAAACAGUGAUCUUUCAAACCAGUUCAUUUAAAGGCCACGGCACGGUAAAGGAAGAUCCAUUUACAUCGACGUCUUAGAGAGUAAUAGAAUGAAAUUUUAUACCAAUAGAUUCAGCAGAGAACAUGUCCUCCGAAAGAAUAACAGAGCAUUCGCACCCAAAAGUGCAGUAAGCGGGAAACUACUAGCUUCUGUUUCCCCACCAUUGCUACCAGAAAACAACCCCAUGCCCCUUCUUAUACGAGACACAUUUGCACUCAAAUGUCCUUUGUGUCAUAGCGGCAAUGCAAAGAGAAACGGAAAACGACUUUCAAAACCACGAGACAAGAUAAGACUAGGUCGAUGAAAAAAAAUGUACAGAAAGCUAAAUCAUUCGCGAGAAACCACGACCACUUGUUUCCCGAUGCUGCGACCAGAGAACACCCCGACAAGAGCUGCUGGACCGUUCUCGAGCCCUUCCGCGAUGUCUUCCAUGUACACAAUCUUCCCCUCUUUAAUCUGAGGCAAUACCGUCUCGAGGAACUUCGGGUAGAGAUGAUAGUAAUCAAACAUUGCAAAACCUUCCAUCCGAACCUGCUUCCAGAUAAGGUGCAUCAAGUUGUGUACGCCUUCGUGCUGCUCGAGGUUGUAUUGUGAGAUCAUUCCGCAUACUGUGAUUCGGCCAUGAGGUUUCAUGUUGAGCAGCACGGCAUCAAGCAUCUUUCCACCGACAUUUUCAAAGUAGAU